Molecule: long non-coding RNA, 634 nt
Organism: Poecilia reticulata (guppy)
Lineage: Eukaryota; Metazoa; Chordata; Actinopteri; Cyprinodontiformes; Poeciliidae
Source: RefSeq, a predicted model, not a curated record
CUUGUGAACAACAGAAACUCUACACUAAGAGGAGCGCCCCUGUGAUGCUUAUUAACCCUGUGGAUUUAACCACACUGAAGCAAGCCGGCGUCAGACCUCCACAGGAAACAUGGCAGGCUGUCAGCAGCAAAGCAAAGAAAGUCAGCCAAUUAAGCUACCCGCUUGACCUGGAACUAAAUCAGUACAGAAAAAAAAAAGGAAAAAAGAUUGGGUUCCAAGACAGGUUUUGCAAAUGCAAACUACGAUCAUACAAACAUUUUGUAACAAUAUUUUGUUGGCUUUUUCAGUCCUUUCUGUGGUAGCUUUGAAGAAUGGUGAAAAACUUGACAUUUCAUAUUUUAUGUGAAGUUACUUGAAUAAAUGUGACUUUCAUUGUAUUUCACUGAAAAACCCAAAACUCAUUAACUAGAUCUGUGUUGUCCUGUAUAUCCCUUGAUUAAACCCAGCUGUGUUCCUUUUUCUUUGUCAGGUCCUUGUCUGGUCUAAUGUCUUAAGUCUUGUGUCUAGUUGUCUAGUCUGUUUGUCUGUCUUGUCCAUUGUGAUUCCAGUUAAUGAGCCUUAACCUUCCGCUCUCUCUGUACUGCCUGGAUUUUGGACCAUGUAUUUUUUGAUUAUCAUUAAAAUCAUAAUUUCA